UUUUGCCUGUAUUUUUCUCAUGCAUUAACUGAGGUUAUGGGUUUUUCUUGAGUUAAGAGAAUCAGCUGCUUCCCCAAGGAGCCAAGGGUACUUUUAAUGGAAAAUGAUAUUAGAAAUCAAGAUUUGGACAUUUGGGAUGUUGUUGCUUCUAGACACUCUCAGCUGACAGAGCAAGGAAAUAUUUGUGCAUAUGCUGACCUGACUAAAUACGCAUAUCUGCUCCAUACCUACCUAACAUCUAUCUUUUCAAGAACUCUGCCAGGGAAGGAGUAGUUUCUGUGUUUCAUAAACAGACUGAGACUCAAAGAGGCUAAGUAAACUACCUGAAGCCAUAUAGCAACACACAAUGACGGAUAAAACACUAGAUCUGAAUAACAAAGGAUGCAUACUUAAGCAAACUAAGGCAUAUAUAGUUAUCACUAAAUGCUCAACCUGGAAAGAAUAUUGGAUUGCAGUCUGCUUUUUCGGUAAAGACAAUAGUAUUAUAAAAC
RNAcentral lists this long non-coding RNA (491 nucleotides) under Pan troglodytes (chimpanzee). Its description in RNAcentral is "long non-coding RNA NONPTRT010795". The record is from RNAcentral. Lineage: Eukaryota; Metazoa; Chordata; Mammalia; Primates; Hominidae.